AUGCAAGGGAUAGAGGCGGUGGUUGAGGGAAACUUCACAAAGGGUUUGCGUGUACUCAUCGUUGAGGACGACCCCGUCUCCUUGAAGAUCCUAGAGUCCCUCAUGUGCAACUGCAAAUACCAUCCAACGAUGGUGAUGGAUGCAUUGAUGGAACUAAAGAUGCCCAAGAAGGGGAAGAAUGAGUUGGACCGGGUGAUUAGCAACAUGCACAUGCCAGACAUGGAAGGUUUCAUGCUCCUUCAGCUCAUUAGAGUUGAGCCGGAUCUCCGUUCCAUAAGUAGACUCUCUGCUUAA
Molecule: ribosomal RNA, 294 nt
Filed under: Triticum aestivum (bread wheat)
Lineage: Eukaryota; Viridiplantae; Streptophyta; Magnoliopsida; Poales; Poaceae
Description: partial small subunit ribosomal RNA
Source: RNAcentral